This 146-nucleotide small nuclear RNA is filed under the name Capsicum annuum. RNAcentral's name for it is "U4 spliceosomal RNA". The record is from Rfam by way of RNAcentral. Lineage: Eukaryota; Viridiplantae; Streptophyta; Magnoliopsida; Solanales; Solanaceae.
AUUUGCAUGCUUAAAUUUACGCAACUAGUGAGCUUCUAAUUGAGGUGCGUCUACGGCCGGCUGAAAACUAUUUCCAAACCCCCUCUUCGGCCUAGGUUCUGCCUUGGCUGUUGAGACUUUUUGAAAGGGCACUGUUCGGGGAUGCC